UACGUAGGGUGCAAGCGUUGUCCGGAAUUAUUGGGCGUAAAGAGCUCGUAGGCGGUUUGUCGCGUCUGCUGUGAAAACGCGAGGCUCAACCUCGCGCCUGCAGUGGGUACGGGCAGACUAGAGUGCGGUAGGGGAGAUUGGAAUUCCUGGUGUAGCGGUGGAAUGCGCAGAUAUCAGGAGGAACACCAAUAGCGAAGGCAGCUCGCUGGGAAGUUCCUGACACUGAGGCGCGAAAGCGUGGGGAGCGAACAGG
This 253-nucleotide ribosomal RNA is filed under the name uncultured bacterium. RNAcentral's name for it is "partial 16S ribosomal RNA". It matches the Rfam family "Bacterial small subunit ribosomal RNA", at positions 524 to 776 of the family's 1533-position model. The record is from RNAcentral.